Molecule: ribosomal RNA, 255 nt
Filed under: Staphylococcus aureus
Lineage: Bacteria; Bacillati; Bacillota; Bacilli; Caryophanales; Staphylococcaceae
Description: partial 23S ribosomal RNA
Rfam family: Bacterial large subunit ribosomal RNA
Source: RNAcentral
GUGGGAUACUACCCUAGCUGUGUUGGCUUUCUAACCCGCACCACUUAUCGUGGUGGGAGACAGUGUCAGGCGGGCAGUUUGACUGGGGCGGUCGCCUCCUAAAAGGUAACGGAGGCGCUCAAAGGUUUCCUCAGAAUGGUUGGAAAUCAUUCAUAGAGUGUAAAGGCAUAAGGGAGCUUGACUGCGAGACCUACAAGUCGAGCAGGGUCGAAAGACGGACUUAGUGAUCCGGUGGUUCCGCAUGGAAGGGCCAUC